RNAcentral lists this long non-coding RNA (679 nucleotides) under Micromonas commoda. RNAcentral's name for it is "long non-coding RNA (MCOM_LNC000186)". Lineage: Eukaryota; Viridiplantae; Chlorophyta; Mamiellophyceae; Mamiellales; Mamiellaceae. The record is from RNAcentral.
GCGGCGCUCUCGCUGGGUCUAGUUUUCGUCGGCACUUGCCAUGAGGAAUGUGUGCAAGCAAUCGUGCAGGCCCUCAUGCUUCGACCCGAGAAAGACUUGGAGGAUCCGUUUGCUCAUUUCCUCUGCCUUGGUCUCGGCCUCAUUUUCUUGCAGCGUCAGGGCGAGGUCGAGGCUACUCUUGAGGUGGCGAAGACCUUGCCGCCGCGCAUCAGCGACUUCCUCCAGGUUACCCUUGAGGCUUGCGCUUAUGCCGGAAGUGGAAACGUUCUCAAGGUGCAGGCCCUCCUGGCGCGCUGCGGUGAGCACCCUGAACUUGACGGCGACGAUGCGAAUGAGGGCGCCGACAGCGAGUCUCAAGAGUGGAAAUAUGAUCCGCAGUCAAUUGCCGCUCUUGGCGUGGCCCUCAUUGCCUCAGCAGAGGAGCUUGGAUCGGACAUGGCGGUGCGUGCAUAUGAUCACUUGAUCCAGUAUGGUGACGCCGCAGUUCGAAAGGCUUGCCCUGUGGGUCUCGCGUUGCUGCACAUUUCGAACCCCAAGCUCAACGUCACUGAUGUUCUCGGUCGUUUGAGCCAUGACAGUAACGAGGAUGUCGCGCAGGCUGCCAGCCUCGCUUUGGGUAUUGUCGGCGCUGGCACGAACAAUGCGCGCCUUGCGAGUCAGCUCCGCCAGUUAUCCAGCU